GAUGAACGCUGGCGGCGUGCCUAAUACAUGCAAGUCGAGCGAACAGACGAGGAUCUUGCUCCUCUGACGUUAGCGGCGGACGGGUGAGUAACACGUGGAUAACCUACCUAUAAGACUGGGAUAACUUCGGGAAACCGGAGCUAAUACCGGAUAAUAUAUUGAACCGCAUGGUUCAAUAGUGAAAGACGGUUUUGCUGUCACUUAUAGAUGGAUCCGCGCCGCAUUAGCUAGUUGGUAAGGUAACGGCUUAUCAAGGCAACGAUGCGUAGCCGACCUGAGAGGGUGAUCGGCCACCCUGGAACUGAGACACGGUCCAGACUCCUACGGGAGGCAGCAGUAGGGAAUCUUCCGCAAUGGGCGAAAGCUUGACGGAGCAACGCCGCGUGAGUGAUGAAGGUCUUCGGAUCGUAAAACUCUGUUAUUAGGGAAGAACAAAUGUGUAAGUAACUAUGCACGUCUUGACGGUACCUAAUAAGAAAGCCACGGCUAACUACGUG
This 497-nucleotide ribosomal RNA is filed under the name uncultured bacterium. Its description in RNAcentral is "partial 16S ribosomal RNA". It matches the Rfam family "Bacterial small subunit ribosomal RNA", at positions 28 to 507 of the family's 1533-position model. The record is from RNAcentral.